Molecule: ribosomal RNA, 252 nt
Filed under: uncultured bacterium
Lineage: Bacteria
Description: partial 16S ribosomal RNA
Rfam family: Bacterial small subunit ribosomal RNA
Source: RNAcentral
UACGUAGGUCCCGAGCGUUGUCCGGAUUUAUUGGGCGUAAAGCGAGCGCAGGUGGUUUAUUAAGUCUGGUGUAAAAGGCAGUGGCUCAACCAUUGUAUGCAUUGGAAGCUGGUAGACUUGAGUGCAGGAGAGGAGAGUGGAAUUCCAUGUGUAGCGGUGAAAUGCGUAGAUAUAUGGAGGAACACCGGUGGCGAAAGCGGCUCUCUGGCCUGUAACUGACACUGAGGCUCGAAAGCGAGGGGAGCAAACAGG